GGGUUGUGAGGUUAAGCGACUAAGCGUACACGGUGGAUGCCCUGGCAGUCAGAGGCGAUGAAGGACGUGCUAAUCUGCGAUAAGCGCCGGUAAGGUGAUAUGAACCGUUAUAACCGGCGAUUUCCGAAUGGGGAAACCCAGUGUGAUUCGUCACACUAUCAUUAACUGAAUCCAUAGGUUAAUGAGGCGAACCGGGGGAACUGAAACAUCUAAGUACCCCGAGGAAAAGAAAUCAACCGAGAUUCCCCCAGUAGCGGCGAGCGAACGGGGAGGAGCCCAGAGCCUGAAUCAGCAUGUGUGUUAGUGGAAGCGUCUGGAAAGGCGCGCGAUACAGGGUGACAGCCCCGUACACAAAAGCGCAUGUGCUGUGAGCUCGAUGAGUAGGGCGGGACACGUGGUAUCCUGUCUGAAUAUGGGGGGACCAUCCUCCAAGGCUAAAUACUCCUGACUGACCGAUAGUGAACCAGUACCGUGAGGGAAAGGCGAAAAGAACCCCGGCGAGGGGAGUGAAAAAGAACCUGAAACCGUGUACGUACAAGCAGUGGGAGCACCCUUCGGGGUGUGACUGCGUACCUUUUGUAUAAUGGGUCAGCGACUUAUAUUCUGUAGCAAGGUUAACCGUAUAGGGGAGCCGGAGGGAAACCGAGUCUUAAUUGGGCGUUAAGUUGCAGGGUAUAGACCCGAAACCCGGUGAUCUAGCCAUGGGCAGGUUGAAGGUUGGGUAACACUAACUGGAGGACCGAACCGACUAAUGUUGAAAAAUUAGCGGAUGACCUGUGGCUGGGGGUGAAAGGCCAAUCAAACCGGGAGAUAGCUGGUUCUCCCCGAAAGCUAUUUAGGUAGCGCCUCGUGAAUUCAUCUCCGGGGGUAGAGCACUGUUUCGGCUAGGGGGCCAUCCCGGCUUACCAACCCGAUGCAAACUGCGAAUACCGGAGAAUGUUAUCACGGGAGACACACGGCGGGUGCUAACGUCCGUCGUGAAGAGGGAAACAACCCAGACCGCCAGCUAAGGUCCCAAAGUCAUGGUUAAGUGGGAAACGAUGUGGGAAGGCCCAGACAGCCAGGAUGUUGGCUUAGAAGCAGCCAUCAUUUAAAGAAAGCGUAAUAGCUCACUGGUCGAGUCGGCCUGCGCGGAAGAUGUAACGGGGCUAAACCAUGCACCGAAGCUGCGGCAGCGAACGUAUCACCCAAGACAACUUUACGGAGUUGACGAUUGACGGAGCGAAGCGACGUCAAAGCGUUCAUUAAAGUCGAGUUGGCUUAGGGAUACGUUCGUUGGGUAGGGGAGCGUUCUGUAAGCCUGUGAAGGUGUGUCGUGAGGCAUGCUGGAGGUAUCAGAAGUGCGAAUGCUGACAUAAGUAACGAUAAAGCGGGUGAAAAGCCCGCUCGCCGGAAGACCAAGGGUUCCUGUCCAACGUUAAUCGGGGCAGGGUGAGUCGACCCCUAAGGCGAGGCCGAAAGGCGUAGUCGAUGGGAAACGGGUUAAUAUUCCCGUACUUGGUGUUACUGCGAAGGGGGGACGGAGAAGGCUAUGUUGGCCGGGCGACGGUUGUCCCGGUUUAAGCGUGUAGGUGUGUGUUCCAGGUAAAUCCGGUUCACUUUAACACUGAGGCGUGACGACGAGGCACUACGGUGCUGAAGCAACAAAUGCCCUGCUUCCAGGAAAAGCCUCUAAGCAUCAGGUAACACGAAAUCGUACCCCAAACCGACACAGGUGGUCAGGUAGAGAAUACCAAGGCGCUUGAGAGAACUCGGGUGAAGGAACUAGGCAAAAUGGUGCCGUAACUUCGGGAGAAGGCACGCUGACACGUAGGUGAAGUGAUUUACUCAUGGAGCUGAAGUCAGUCGAAGAUACCAGCUGGCUGCAACUGUUUAUUAAAAACACAGCACUGUGCAAACACGAAAGUGGACGUAUACGGUGUGACGCCUGCCCGGUGCCGGAAGGUUAAUUGAUGGGGUCAGCGUAAGCGAAGCUCCUGAUCGAAGCCCCGGUAAACGGCGGCCGUAACUAUAACGGUCCUAAGGUAGCGAAAUUCCUUGUCGGGUAAGUUCCGACCUGCACGAAUGGCGUAAUGAUGGCCAGGCUGUCUCCACCCGAGACUCAGUGAAAUUGAACUCGCUGUGAAGAUGCAGUGUACCCGCGGCAAGACGGAAAGACCCCGUGAACCUUUACUAUAGCUUGACACUGAACAUUGAGCCUUGAUGUGUAGGAUAGGUGGGAGGCUUUGAAGUGUGGACGCCAGUCUGCAUGGAGCCGACCUUGAAAUACCACCCUUUAAUGUUUGAUUCUAACGUGGACCCGUAGGGUCGGACAGUCUGGUGGGUAUUUGACUCUCCUAAAGGACACGAAGGUAACCUGGUCGCAUCAGGAGGUUAGUGCAAUGGCAUAAAGGACUGCGCGUGACGCGCAGGUGCGAAAGCAGGUCAUAGAUCCGGUGGUUCUGAAUGGAAGGGCCAUCGCUCAAGGACUCAUAAGGCUGAACCCCAAGAGUUUAUCGACGGCGGUGGCACUGGCUCAUCACAUCCCUGAAGUAGGUCCCAUAUGGCUGUUCGCCAUUUAAAGUGGUACGCGAGCUGGGUUUAGAACGUCGUGAGACAGUUCGGUCCCUAUCUGCCGUGGGCGCUGGAGAACUGAGGGGGGCUGCUCCUAGUACGAGAGGACCGGAGUGGACGCAUCACUGGUGUUCGGGUUGUCAUGCCAAUGGCACUGCCCGGUAGCUAAAUGCGGAAGAGAUAAGUGCUGAAAGCAUCUAAGCACGAAACUUGCCCCGAGAUGAGUUCUCCCUGAGACUUAGAGUCUCCUGAAGGAACGUUGAGAACGUUGAAGACGACGACGUUGAUAGGCCGGGUGUGUAAGCGCAGCGAUGCGUUGAGCUAACCGGUACUAAUGAACCGUGAGGCUUAACCUUACAACGCCGAAG
Molecule: ribosomal RNA, 2921 nt
Filed under: Salmonella enterica subsp. enterica serovar Typhimurium
Lineage: Bacteria; Pseudomonadati; Pseudomonadota; Gammaproteobacteria; Enterobacterales; Enterobacteriaceae
Description: bacterial LSU rRNA
Rfam family: Bacterial large subunit ribosomal RNA
Source: RNAcentral